AUAUUCACCCAGCAAACCCCAAACACACAUGUGUGUAUAGACACUUCAGUUGAGGAAUGGACUUCGAGGUGAAAUAUUGCACGAGGGAAUCGUAGCGAGUGAGCCGGAUGUCUGGAGGCAGAUAAAUAGCAUCGGCUGGCGGUUAGGACACAUCAGCCGUAAACAGUACCGGCAGCCAUAAAAAGACGAACAGCUUUAUUUCCCCAGCCCUCGCAGACACAUCAGUGAGACGGACACAGUGCUCAGAGUAAAUAAAGCAAGCUGACUGGCGGGGCAGUUAGACUGGAAGCUGAAACAUCGCUCCGGGUCCCAUAAUAAUGCCCCGUAGGGCUCACGUCAAGACUCUCCAGUGGGACUGAGAAAGUGCUUUCACCUCCCUGUUUGUCGCUCACCAGCUUAACCUGGAUGAGCUGAUAGGGCUCAGGGGAACUCUGUGCAGAAACUCUACAUGGCCCAGUAUGGGGAGAAGACAGGAAACUGCCUUUCAUUACAGUAUAGAGGCUUGCACAUGUGGGAGUGAUGUUGGAAUGACUCUUUCUUCCAGUCUGCAGGCAUCGCACCCGUCUACUGGUCUGCUAGGCAAAUCCUCUCCCAUCAAACCGCUUUGGGACCAGGAUUACUGAGAUUUUGAAAAGAGUAAAACAGAAUAUUCGAUGUGAAAAGCAUUCCACACCAUAAUGGAGGCAGACCUGAAUGUGACUUCACAAUGUCCCAUCCUGAAACGCCACCGGCUGCGCCUUUUUAGACUUUUUGUCUGGGAUGUGGAAGCUGAAGCCUUAGUGGCAUCUGCAAGAAAGGAAGACAGACAGACAUCAGACAGACAUAGUUUUCUUUGUACACUAAUGAAUUGGACAGACCAGGAGCAUGUGUUCAUAAUUUUUUUUCUGUUGUCAUCUUAACUAACCAGACUGACAAUUUCCAAUGUGAAUGGAAUUCCAUACCUGAACAGAGCCAGAACUGAAUGCAAGCUUGUGGUCUUCUAGCUUUAAGAUUAAGGAUGCACAGUUUAUCUAAAUCAUGACAUUUUUCAGAUUAUGUUGGAGAUUUUGAAUUUGAAUUUAUUUAUUAGGAUAAACCCAUCAUGAUGUAUCAUCUCAUUUCAUGUAUCACAAUCAUCAA
Molecule: long non-coding RNA, 1119 nt
Organism: Cyprinus carpio (common carp)
Lineage: Eukaryota; Metazoa; Chordata; Actinopteri; Cypriniformes; Cyprinidae
Source: Ensembl